GCCCGGGCGGCUCAGUCAGUUAAGCACCUGACUUCAGCUCAGGUCAUGAUCUCACAGUUUGUGGGUUCGAGCCCCACAUCAGGCU
Molecule: transfer RNA, 85 nt
Filed under: Felis catus (domestic cat)
Lineage: Eukaryota; Metazoa; Chordata; Mammalia; Carnivora; Felidae
Rfam family: tRNA
About the family: Transfer RNA (tRNA) molecules are approximately 80 nucleotides in length.
Source: Rfam by way of RNAcentral